This 1442-nucleotide long non-coding RNA is filed under the name Struthio camelus australis. RNAcentral describes it as "lncRNA (ENSSCUG00000012739.1)". The record is from RNAcentral. Lineage: Eukaryota; Metazoa; Chordata; Aves; Struthioniformes; Struthionidae.
UCCUUGGCUGGAUACAUGUUAAUUUUUCAUUCACAAUCUCUACAUCCAAGCACCUUUUCAAAGUCAGACUUGGAUCCCUCGUGUUUCUCAGCAACCUCCUCCAGGUAAGAAGAUAACUUCCUCUUGCCACCUACUUUUUCUAGCACUAAUCCUGCUCCUCAAAAACUACCACCUUGCUGCGUCUGAGCAAGGAUAUCCACCUCCUUAUGUCUGCAUGGUCUUACUCCCUGCAUUACAUAGUGAGCUACAGUCAGUGCUGGCUGAAUAGGUCCUUUAGUUACCACUACAUCAGGAGGGAAUUUGACCCAACUGCUGUGCCAGUUCAGUUAUGAACAAAUGGACCAACUGGUAUCUGCAGAGACCUUGGUUUGUGUGCCAUUCAACAUCCCUCUAUGACUGCACUUACAAACCCUGCUCAGCCCCUGUUAAUCAGAGGAAGCCUGGAAUGGAGCUGCUGCUGAUGCUACCUACAAGCCUGUUGUUCGGGGGCGUGAUGCCUCACAGGACCCAGCUUGGCACCACUUCAGCAGGCAGCUGCAAUUGUUUGACAUCUACAAGGACACCAUGUCUUUGAGCUGAGGCCACAAGUUGUGCCAAGAGUGCAUUGAGGAGGGGGUUGGUUUCUGCAGCAGAAGCGCAGGGAUAUAUAUCCCUGCCAGCAGAGCCCCAGGUGCAUGUCACACCGUGCCGACUCCUGGCCCAGGUCCCAGAGGGCAGAAGGAUAAGUCAGCACCAAAGCAGGAGGAUGGGAUCGCCUGCUAUUUCUGCCUGACACAUCCUCGUCCUACUGCGUCAAUCCUCCGAGCAUGUCUGAAGAAGCACACCACCAACACUGCCCACGUAGGCUGCCUCUCAGCAUAUCCUAGCUGCUCCCAGAGAAAAGGAAGCUUUAUUUUUCCUCUCCCAAGGACCAGGAGGUGCUGUACGGUUUGUGCUAGGACAGUCCAAUUGUGCUACUUUGCAGAGUAGCCCAAAGGCCACUACUUCGCUACUCUGCAGGUCUGGAGGAGACACUCUGAAGACCUAGAGUGAAAAUGUUGCCCAGUCAGCUGGGUGCUCUGCUGCACAGGCUGAUCUGCAGAAGGGCAGCCCCUUGAAUAGCCUUGGGCAAGGGGUACAGCACCACUGCUCAUGCUUGUGGUGCUGCCAACUAAAUCCCUUCAACACUCCGGCAAUAGUGCUUUUGCUUACGUGAGCAAGCGGCUACCGGGCAGAGGCUGACUGCCAAAGAAACUGCAGAUGGCUGGAGAGGGCAGGGGGAUCUCAAUGAUGCAUGGGGCCAGGCUAGUGUCCGGCUCAGCUCUGCUUGCUCAUGCCCCCUGCACUGCAAACAUAUCUGAAGAUUUUAGAGACAUUGAAAGAAGCAGCUCUGAAAUGAUGUGGGCAAAAAAAAUAAUAGUAAUAAUAAUAAAAUGAUGAGGACUAUUUGCGACUUUCGUAGC